Molecule: long non-coding RNA, 9294 nt
Filed under: Citrus sinensis (sweet orange)
Lineage: Eukaryota; Viridiplantae; Streptophyta; Magnoliopsida; Sapindales; Rutaceae
Description: long non-coding RNA (CSIN_LNC000031)
Source: RNAcentral
CUUGGGGCGAACUGCUUUCGGAGUUCUUGCUUGAAGUCGGCCCAAGUGUCGAUGGCGCAAAUGCCCUUGCCCAUCUCGCCAUGCUUGCGACUGCACUUGUGCCAUGCCCAAUCUGAGCGGACUUCAUCCACUUCCGCACGGACAGCGCGUAGUUCGUCUUGAACAAAACUACGAAUUUUGAGCAACUCAUCAUGGAAAGAACGAAACUCACCUCGGAGAAUGUUCGCUUGCUCAUGGAUGAGAGCUUUUGUGGCCACCGUGAACUCGGCGUAUUCUCCCUCGAGACCAUCCACUCUUUCCUCCAAUCCCACGAGGCUAUCUUGAGCGGCGGACAAUGCUAUUUCGAGAGUGCCUACACGAGGCUCCAACGCAUCCACGGAUAGGGCCUUGGACUUGCCGCGAGUCUUGCCUUGGGCGCGUUCUCCCUCUCGGCCACGGCUUGGUUCCGGUGGAACAUCCACACCAACAACACCCUCUUGUGCUACGUUCGAAGGGUUGGCCAUUGCUUCGUGAGCUAAUUUGCGUGCGUGCAAACCUUAGCUCUGAUACCACUUGUCACGGGAUGAGUGUUUUGCGCAGCUAACCCGUGCGGCACGUAGACAACUUUGCCGAAUGUUGCUAAGUAAGCCUAGAGAUUCUCAAACAAGAGAAGAGAGCAGAGCUUCUCGAACUAGAGAAAAGAGCAAUUGAGCCAAAGAAGAAAACUUGUAUUGCACAAAGAGAGAAUACAAUGCUUGAGUUGCUUACAAUGUUUGUUGGAUACAAAUGCCUAACUUCCGGAAUUGGGCCAAGCUAGCACUCUUGGCCUUGUGUUGGCUCUCUAGCCCGAAAUUGUGGGCAAUUGGGCUAGCGAAUUGGGCGGUCCGCAACAUUAUGAUGUUGUUAGAAUCAGGUUGGUUAAGAUGGCAAUUUGAUUAAUGAAAAAAUUUUUAUCCGACCACGAUGUUAAAGCAGGGUAAAUUUCUCAUUACAUUAAUUUCUUCAUUGGCAUGUACAGCAAUCAGGUAUUUGCUCUGUGGCCCUUGCUAAUUUGGAACUGCUCUCGAAGGCGAAAAUGAGUCAUUAAUACCCGAACACAAAUAAUAAGCUCUCCACCAAUAGAAACUUGAUGGGCAUGUGUCCAUGCAAUGCAUUGACUUGCUGGACUUGACAACAUUCCACCUUCACUUACUGAAAAAGUUUCAAAUGUAAAGACUUGCAAUGCUAGAAAAUUCAGCAAAUUUUUGAAGGAAAGAGUUUAAUUAAAACCAAAUCCGUUGAAGUUUAUUAGGGAUAAUAUCCCCCAUAUGACUUAUGUUAAUUAAAUAUGUAAGGCUUGAACAACCUUCAACUCUUGAACUAUCUUUUGAGCUGAGUUAGGUACAUAGGCUUCCAUAAAAUUCACCCAUGAAACAAUCAUACUUGAAUUUAAUACAUGGGAGGUACUGUUAUUUGUUCUGGAUGAUGCAGCACAUGGGCAACUAAUGGUGGGAGCUUAUUUGUUUUAUGUAACAUAUGGGGAAAAAAAAGGUGAGGCGGUUAAAAAGUAAAUAAAAGGAAAAGAAGAAGCUUGAAACAGGGGAAUAGAUACACACGUGUAAGAGAGUGAAAGAAGUUGUAACCCGACCCGUUUGACCCGAAAAUCGACUCGGUCGUAUGUUGUGGUUCUGGCCGCCCCACCGGUCAAGCUUGGUACCAAUCUGAAGCUUGAAGACCGGCCAUCAUACCCCAGUCAUCCACGUCGCCGGAAAACCUAGAACGUCAGUGACCAAAGCUUGAAAAACCCGCGACUUUUCCACCUUGUUCUGCCGGGAUUUUCGCUGGUUUUGGGUGACACCACUGGCUUGAUUUUGUUCCCCACGACUCCCUUUUGAUUUUCCAACCAUCCACAGCCAUCGAGAGUAGUCGAUUUGCAGUGGUUUUGCAAUUGUAAUUACACCGCUGUCGAGCUAGAUUCUGGUGUCGUCGCCACGCGUGGGAGCACACUGCCCGUAUCAUUGAACUCAGCUCAGCGAGAAGUGUCUGACCUGAGCUUCCCGGUCACUGUUACUUGAAUUACGACCACCGUUGACCAGCGAGGGCAAUUCGGUAAUUUCACAUUUUGAGGGCGAUUUUGUAAUUUUGAGCCUGCAGAUAUUUUAGUAAUUCCUGAAAUUGAGGAUUUGGUGUAAUUACGAUUCCGAGGGUAAUUCGGAAAUUUACGAUUUUGGAGAUUUUGUUAAUUCUAUUGACACAGGAGUUGCAAAUUAUGGAUAGAUGUUUGUUUCUAGUUUAUUGCAUAAAUUUAGUCCUAAUACUGAUUUACGGAAAAUAAUUAUGUCAUUUUCUUGAUUUAGGAGGAUCCGCUAGCGAGAACCAGUCUGCAAACGUGGACGAUAACUGAACGUGAACAUCAUCACUGUGAAUGAAAUAUACAAAACCUAUUUUCAUAGUUAAUUAUGAUAGUAAAGCAUGUUUGCGAAAUAAGUAUUUUAAAUGUUCUGAUUUAAUAUUUUUUUGAAAUGGAUUUAAUUCACGCAUUGAUAUUUUAUUGAAAUGUUUGAUUAAUGAUUUUAUGUAUCAACUUUGGAUAAUAUAUGAUAGUAUUUUAAAGAUAAGAAAAGUGGAUUUAGACGUGAUGAUGAAAAGAAAAGUAUGAUUUAAAGUAUGGUUAAAAUGUAUAUGAAUAGGAGUAUAGAGAUUGUUUUUAAAAUCAUUGGACAGUACUCUUCCCUUUAGAUACUAUGAUACAGAUGAGAUGAAAGGCCUUUGGGGCCCGUCUGAAAACACAUAGAGACUUUGAGCCGUGUUUGGGCGCUUCUGCCUUUUGGGGGUAUAUGCAUGUGAUAUGAUGGUAACAGUGAUACAGAUACAAAUGAUACAGAUGAUAUACAGGCCUUUUGGUCUCGUCUGAGUACACACAGAGGAUUUGGGCCGUGUGCUUGAGCGCUUUUUUUCUUUGGGGACUAGAUUAUGCAUGCACAUAUAUGAUGAGAUAUGAGAUGAUAUUUCCUUGUCUAUCUGUGUAGCUCCGAGGCGUGACGGUACCUAGAUAGUACAUUAUUGCCCGUCCGUUGAGGUCAAAAUACGACGAGAUUAUUCCCUUGGGUACUCAUUUAUUGAUGAUUUUCAGAUUUGUGUAUUCUAUAUGAUAUUGUGAUAUGAUUUCUAUGGUUAUUGGGUACAAUAUUAUAUAUGUUUUUCAAGGUUAAUAAUAUGAUUUAAAUGUUAAAUGAUUUAUUACUGGUUUCGAGCAUAUGGUUUGAUGAAAUAGUGUUUGGAAAUGAUAUGAUUAUUUCUUUUAAAGUAAAAAUUUGUUUUCAAAAAUUACUAUCCACUUAUUGAGCUCACUUUAUUAUAUUAUCUCCCUCCAACAGGAGAUUGUAGGUACACCAGACCGACCUAGCGACUGUAAAUAUAUUUUGAUUUUUGGCCACGUGAUGGUGUUAGAAGAUAUAGAUGAUUUUUUUGUUAGGACAUCCUUAUCAUCUCACCCUUUUGGGAUUGUAUAAUUUUGUUAGAUUAUUUUUUUGGGAUUAAGAAUAAACUAAUAUAUAUUAAUAUUAAUUAUAAUAAAAUAUUUUAAUAUUCUGGAGAUAUCUUGAGUAAAACUCAACAUUUUCAUUGAGGAUGUUGAUCAUUGGAGUUGCUUGUAUAUUGAAUUAUUUUGGGGAGUGUUAUGUUCAUAUUUACAGACUGAGAGUGUUAUAUUUAUAAAGGAGACUCUGCUGAAUUUUCGGCAGAAUUCUCACUAAUUAGAUUAUUAUCAAGUCAGUUUUGAUGAGACUAGAUUGACUCGAUAGGGGAGAUUUGAGGCGGGUCUUUUCGUUUUAACAACUUUGCAAGACUAGAAGGAGCCAUUAAUAAACAGAAUUAGUAACCUCUCCACAAACACUAAGGUAGCGUUUACAUUUUGGAUUGAAGUAGAAAUUAUGAAAAGUGUGAAUCCUAGGAUUGAGAGUGUGGAGUGGGAGUGAGAGUAUGUUAUUUACUUACACUGGAAUGGAAGUAUGGAAUGAAGAUCAUAAUUUAAUUUAUAUAUUUACUUUGUCUUGAAUUGGGAGUAAAUAGUUUCAAAUUAUAAUUUUACCCUCAUUUAAAUAAUUGUGAUUUUUAAUUACAAAGUUAAUAAAAAAAUAUAUUUGAUGAAUAACCAUUUAUUUUAUUAUAUUUGUAAAUUUAUAAUAAUUAUUAAUAUUCUUAAUUAUGUACAUCACAAUUUUUUAUUAAUUUUAAUUAUGUAAUUAAAAAUUAUUGAUCAGGGCAAUAUAAAUGAAAUAUUUUUUACUAUUAACCUAGUACAAAAUUAAUAUUUUCUUAGCAUAAACUAUUUAUUAUUAUUAAUUACAAUAUUAAAUUAAUAUACUCUAUUAUAUAAAAUAAUAAUAUAAUAUAAUUUAGUACAAAAUUAAUAUUUUCUUAGAAUAAACUAUUUAUUAUUAUUAUUAUUAAAUAAAUAUAAUACUAUUAUUUUAAAUCAAUAUAAUAAUAUUAUAUUUUUAAAUAAAGAUAGUAUAUAGUAAUAUUAUUAAUUCUCCAUUAAUAUAAUAAUAUUAUUUUUAAGUAAUUUUAACUUAGAAUCAAUGUAAAUUAUUAUUUAGUUAAAUAUAAUAUUAUUAUUUAAAUAAAUAUAAUAUUAUUUAUUUUAUUUUAUUAAACAUAAUUAUAUUAAAUUUAAUAAAAGGAGAGUAAAAAAGGAAGAGGUGGGAGUGGGUUCUCCACCUCCCCCUGUGAGAGUCCCACUCUCACUCCCCACUCCAAAAAUAAGUGGGGCUCACGGAAUGAGAUUUCCAAUCCUCUCUUAAAAUAUGUAAAUAAACAUUAAAGUGUGAAGAAUCUACACUUCUCAUUCCCACUCUAAAAAGUAAUCACAACAUAAAUUGAUGGGCAUGUGUGCUUGCUGCAUUGACUACAAUUCCACCCAUACUUGCUCACUAACUCACGUUUCUUCUCAUACUUUGCUCACUAACUCACGUUUCUUCUCAUCCUUCUCCAACUUUUGAAGUUUUUUGGCCAAUAUGCUCGCGUUAAAUAAUAUUACAGACCGGCUUUUGUCUCCCUUCACAGUCUUAGGUUCAAAAGAUGUGUAAAUUUGUUCUUUCCAUUUUUUGUGUUUCAGCUUGUCUCUUGCUUUAAAAAAAAAAUAAUUUCCUUAUUGCACAAAAUUACUCCUAGCAACCCAUAUAUAUAUAUAUAUAUAAUGAAAACAUAUAAAUGAAGGAUCUGAUUUCUGAUACAUGAGUUCGAUGUUAUUAUCUAUAAUUUAGGUUCCACAAGAAUAAAACUAUGCAUCAAUGUCCAAACAAUAAGAAGAUGUCCACCUUACCAAUAUUGGAAUCUUACCCCAAAAAAAUUAUAAUAUAAGACACAAAAUUAGUAGUUAAUUAGUUGUAAUUUUAAACCAAAACUUGAGACUUAUUUUAACAAUGCAAGAAUUAGUGGAAAAUGAGUGAGAGUUUGCUAACCAAAUAGUGAGAAGAACUUACGAAAAAUUAGAUCAAUUGUAAUUGAAAAGGUGCAAGAGCAAAUUUGAACAUCCAACCAAUUUUUUGAAUUUUUGUAUUAAUCAUAUUUAUAUAUGCAAUCUUCUUUAUUUUUUAACUUUAUUCGAAUUUUAUAUACUAAAGACAAAAUAAAAUAAAAAAAUUGUUUUGGAUGGUAGUAAGAUAUUCUAUUUGACUCAUUUAUUUAUAAAUAGUACAGCAGAACAUAAUGAAUUCACACUGAUAAACACCGAUUUAAAAGGAUCUGACGUCCCCAAUGAAUUCACACUGACAUGAAUUCAAACUUGUGAUUCGACUAGAUUAAAAUGAUGCAUCAAUAGCCAAACAAAAGUAAUAAGCUCUCCACCACUACUAACUUGCUCGGCAUGUGUCAUUGGGCUGCAAUGAAUUGCUCCAUAUGACAAAAUCUCCAUCCACACUUCCUCACUAUCUCCCAUUUCUUAUCCUCAUCCAGCAUUUGAAGCUCGUAGGCCAAUGCUUUUACAUCCUCAAGUGCAAAGAACUCCUUUCUAUCAUGAGGAUCCGAGAAUAGCAAAUCCAGUUCAAGCAUAAUUUUUUCACAGGCAAACUCCUCCGCACUUGGUUUUAAACUCUUUUUUCGGAAGAAUUCGUUUGCCGCAUCACGGGUGUCUCGCAGUGUAAAUUUCGUAUGACAUGCGCAGAAUUCAGCAUGGUAGGCUUUGUCAAGGCUGCUCAUUAUUCAAGCAGCUUGGUGAAGCCACGUCAGCAGAAGGUUGUUAGUGAAGAAUAACAGCUCAGCGUGAUCAGUCAAGUGUUAGUUAUCCAGCUCAUGAAAGUUAGUUAGUUAGUGAGUUACUAGCAAUUCUCACGUGUAAGGAAUAAUAUAAAUACUUGUACUGAUUUGUAAAAGNNNNNNNNNNNNNNNNNNNNNNNNNAUAUAUAUAUAUAUAUAAUGAAAACAUAUAAAUGAAGGAUCUGAUUUCUGAUACAUGAGUUCGAUGUUAUUAUCUAUAAUUUAGGUUCCACAAGAAUAAAACUAUGCAUCAAUGUCCAAACAAUAAGAAGAUGUCCACCUUACCAAUAUUGGAAUCUUACCCCAAAAAAAUUAUAAUAUAAGACACAAAAUUAGUAGUUAAUUAGUUGUAAUUUUAAACCAAAACUUGAGACUUAUUUUAACAAUGCAAGAAUUAGUGGAAAAUGAGUGAGAGUUUGCUAACCAAAUAGUGAGAAGAACUUACGAAAAAUUAGAUCAAUUGUAAUUGAAAAGGUGCAAGAGCAAAUUUGAACAUCCAACCAAUUUUUUGAAUUUUUGUAUUAAUCAUAUUUAUAUAUGCAAUCUUCUUUAUUUUUUAACUUUAUUCGAAUUUUAUAUACUAAAGACAAAAUAAAAUAAAAAAAUUGUUUUGGAUGGUAGUAAGAUAUUCUAUUUGACUCAUUUAUUUAUAAAUAGUACAGCAGAACAUAAUGAAUUCACACUGAUAAACACCGAUUUAAAAGGAUCUGACGUCCCCAAUGAAUUCACACUGACAUGAAUUCAAACUUGUGAUUCGACUAGAUUAAAAUGAUGCAUCAAUAGCCAAACAAAAGUAAUAAGCUCUCCACCACUACUAACUUGCUCGGCAUGUGUCAUUGGGCUGCAAUGAAUUGCUCCAUAUGACAAAAUCUCCAUCCACACUUCCUCACUAUCUCCCAUUUCUUAUCCUCAUCCAGCAUUUGAAGCUCGUAGGCCAAUGCUUUUACAUCCUCAAGUGCAAAGAACUCCUUUCUAUCAUGAGGAUCCGAGAAUAGCAAAUCCAGUUCAAGCAUAAUUUUUUCACAGGCAAACUCCUCCGCACUUGGUUUUAAACUCUUUUUUCGGAAGAAUUCGUUUGCCGCAUCACGGGUGUCUCGCAGUGUAAAUUUCGUAUGACAUGCGCAGAAUUCAGCAUGGUAGGCUUUGUCAAGGCUGCUCAUUAUUCAAGCAGCUUGGUGAAGCCACGUCAGCAGAAGGUUGUUAGUGAAGAAUAACAGCUCAGCGUGAUCAGUCAAGUGUUAGUUAUCCAGCUCAUGAAAGUUAGUUAGUUAGUGAGUUACUAGCAAUUCUCACGUGUAAGGAAUAAUAUAAAUACUUGUACUGAUUUGUAAAAGCUUUAUGAAUUGAAUCUUAUCAAAUACAAGUAUUGAGAAUUUUCUCUUUGAUUUUCUAUUCAACCAAACAGCACAUCUCUGUUUUCUUUCUUGGUAUUAGAGCCACAAAUGGCCAGCUCAAGCAAUACAAUCUCAAAUCAAACAAUCAUUAACUCAAAUCAACAUACACAAACAUCAUUUACUUUUGCUGCAACUGUGAAACUUGAUCGAUUGAAUUUCUUACUUUGGCGCAAACAAGUGGUAACUUCAAUCAGAGGAAAUCGCCUUGAAAGAUUCAUUCUAGAGCCGCAAAUUAUUCCAGAACAGUAUCUAGUUGAUUCAACAAUCGAAGGAUCUGGUGAGAGCAUUGAAAAUCCAGUCUAUAGUAACUGGAGAGCACAAGAUCAAAUACUCCUUGGCUGGCUGCUCUCAACUAUAAGUGAAGGUAUUCUUAGUUCUGUUCUUAGCUAUGACACUUCAUUUGAUGUGUGGAGAUCUAUUGAAAAACAAUUUGGAGUUCAAUCUGAGGCUAAGAUUAUGCAACUCAGAUAUGAAAUGAACAUCUUAAGAAAAGAUUCGAUGAAUGUUGAGGAAUAUUGUGCUAAAAUGAAAUUACUCGCCAAUAAACUUGCUUGUGCUGGUGAUGUAAUCACUGAAAAGGAUCUGUUAAUGAGAGUUUUGAAUGGUUUAGGUUCAGGUUAUCUAGAUCUAACUUCCAUAAUCACUGCAAAUAAGAUGAGCUAUGAUGAUGCUUAUGCAUUGUUACUGACUCAUGAAGCUAGACUUGAACAAAAUCAAAGUGCCAAAACUGUGUUUAAUGCAAACUAUAGCACAAUGAAUGUGAAUCAUCCCUAUAUGAGAGGAAAUUUUAGAAGAGGUGUUGUUGGAAAUGGAAAUUAUGGUCGACCUGUGACUAGAGGAUUUAAUGUUGGAAGAGGCAUGUUUCACAAUCCACAUUCCAGAGGUUUUUCACCUGGUGUUGGUAAUGUUGGGGGUUAUGGCAGGGGCCAGAUGAUGCAACCUUUUAGGCCACCUAUGAAGCCAAACUUUCAUCCUUCAGCUAACAUGCAUGCUGAUGAAUUACCAACCAUAUGUCAGAUAUGCCACAAAAUAGGACAUGCAGCAGAUGAAUGCUGGCAUUGAUAUGAUGACAAUCACCUAGGCAUUUUGGAAGGGGCAGGUCUUUUGGAUCUAAGGCUGCAUACACAGCUAACUUUGAUCUAUCUCUCACUUAUGCUGCUCCUUCAACUGAAGAACAAUAUGCUGCACCCUACUCAACCUACAAUCCCUUAUCCUACUCCUCUUAUCCAUCAACAGACACAGUCAUUCCUGAAGCCUAUCUUACCAACUAUGAAGGGCCUGCUGAUGAAGGGUGGUACCUUGAUAGUGGUGCCACACAUCACUUGACUAAUAGUAUGGCCAAGAUGAAUGUCAGAGAGGAAUUCAGAGGAUCUGAUCAACUUGUCAUCGGCAAUGGCCAAGGUUUGCCUAUAACUCAUAUUGGUAAUGCAUGUUUUACUUAUAAAGGAUCAAUUGCUGCACAUAAACCAACACAUAUACUACUUAAAGACAUGUUAUUAGUACCUGAUAUCACAAAGAACCUGCUUAGCAUAUCAAAAUUAACUGCAGAUAACCAUCUCUCUAUUGAAUUUGUUGAUAAUGUUUGCUAUGUGAAGGAUUCUCUGAAGAGGCAAGUGCUUCUGACAGGAAUUGCUGAGAAAGGAUUGUAUAAGCAGCUUCUAAGACCAUCUGAGUCUCUUCCUUG